Molecule: long non-coding RNA, 872 nt
Organism: Oncorhynchus keta (chum salmon)
Lineage: Eukaryota; Metazoa; Chordata; Actinopteri; Salmoniformes; Salmonidae
Exons: 3
Source: RefSeq, a predicted model, not a curated record
UUAGCUCGUUUUUAAUCCUCCUUUUUUAAAACUAUUUAACACAUCUGAAUGAUUCUGCCUCAGAGGUUGGGAGGCUCUGGUUGUAUAGGGGUUUAAUAUGAUUCUGCCUCAGAGGCUGGGAGGCUCUGGUUGUAUAGGGGUUUAAUAUGAUUCUGUCUCAGAGGCUGGGAGGCUCUGGUUGUAUAGGGGUUUAAUAUGAUUCUGUCUCAGAGGCUGGGAGGCUCUGGUUGUAUAGGGGUUUAAUAUGAUUCUGUCUCAGAGGCUGGGAGGCUCUGGUUGUAUAGGGGUUUAAUAUGAUUCUGUCUCAGAGGCUGGGAGGCUCUGGUUGUAUAGGGGUUUAAUAUGAUUCUGUCUCAGAGGCUGGGAGGCUCUGGUUGUAUAGGGGUUUAAUAUGAUUCUGUCUCAGAGGCUGGGAGGCUCUGGUUGUAUAGGGGUUUAAUAUGAUUCUGUCUCAGAGGCUGGGAGGCUCUGGUUGUAUAGGGGUUUAAUAUGAUUCUGUCUCAGAGGCUGGGAGGCUCUGGUUGUAUAGGGGUUUAAUAUGAUUCUGUCUCAGAGGCUGGGAGGCUCUGGUUGUAUAGGGGUUUAAUAUGAUUCUGUCUCAGAGGCUGGGAGGCUCUGGUUGUAUAGGGGUUUAAUAUGAUUCUGUCUCAGAGGCUGGGAGGCUCUGGUUGUAUAGGGGUUUAAUAUGAUUCUGUCUCAGAGGCUGGGAGGCUCUGGUUGUAUAGGGGUUUAAUAUGAUUCUGUCUCAGAGGCUGGGAGGCUCUGGUUGUAUAGGGGUUUAAUAUGAUUCUGUCUCAGAGGCUGGGAGGCUCUGGUUGUAUAGGGGUUUAAUAUGAUUCUGUCUCAGAGGCUGGGAGGCUCUGGUUGUAUAG